RNAcentral lists this ribosomal RNA (1182 nucleotides) under Salmonella enterica subsp. enterica serovar Infantis. Its description in RNAcentral is "partial 23S ribosomal RNA". It matches the Rfam family "Bacterial large subunit ribosomal RNA", at positions 1 to 1211 of the family's 2925-position model. Lineage: Bacteria; Pseudomonadati; Pseudomonadota; Gammaproteobacteria; Enterobacterales; Enterobacteriaceae. The record is from RNAcentral.
GGGUUGUGAGGUUAAGCGACUAAGCGUACACGGUGGAUGCCCUGGCAGUCAGAGGCGAUGAAGGACGUGCUAAUCUGCGAUAAGCGCCGGUAAGGUGAUAUGAACCGUUAUAACCGGCGAUUUCCGAAUGGGGAAACCCAGUGUGAUUCGUCACACUAUCAUUAACUGAAUCCAUAGGUUAAUGAGGCGAACCGGGGGAACUGAAACAUCUAAGUACCCCGAGGAAAAGAAAUCAACCGAGAUUCCCCCAGUAGCGGCGAGCGAACGGGGAGGAGCCCAGAGCCUGAAUCAGCAUGUGUGUUAGUGGAAGCGUCUGGAAAGGCGCGCGAUACAGGGUGACAGCCCCGUACACAAAAGCGCAUGUGCUGUGAGCUCGAUGAGUAGGGCGGGACACGUGGUAUCCUGUCUGAAUAUGGGGGGACCAUCCUCCAAGGCUAAAUACUCCUGACUGACCGAUAGUGAACCAGUACCGUGAGGGAAAGGCGAAAAGAACCCCGGCGAGGGGAGUGAAAAAGAACCUGAAACCGUGUACGUACAAGCAGUGGGAGCACAGGUUUACCUGUGUGACUGCGUACCUUUUGUAUAAUGGGUCAGCGACUUAUAUUCUGUAGCAAGGUUAACCGAAUAGGGGAGCCGGAGGGAAACCGAGUCUUAAUUGGGCGUUAAGUUGCAGGGUAUAGACCCGAAACCCGGUGAUCUAGCCAUGGGCAGGUUGAAGGUUGGGUAACACUAACUGGAGGACCGAACCGACUAAUGUUGAAAAAUUAGCGGAUGACCUGUGGCUGGGGGUGAAAGGCCAAUCAAACCGGGAGAUAGCUGGUUCUCCCCGAAAGCUAUUUAGGUAGCGCCUCGUGAAUUCAUCUCCGGGGGUAGAGCACUGUUUCGGCUAGGGGGCCAUCCCGGCUUACCAACCCGAUGCAAACUGCGAAUACCGGAGAAUGUUAUCACGGGAGACACACGGCGGGUGCUAACGUCCGUCGUGAAGAGGGAAACAACCCAGACCGCCAGCUAAGGUCCCAAAGUCAUGGUUAAGUGGGAAACGAUGUGGGAAGGCCCAGACAGCCAGGAUGUUGGCUUAGAAGCAGCCAUCAUUUAAAGAAAGCGUAAUAGCUCACUGGUCGAGUCGGCCUGCGCGGAAGAUGUAACGGGGCUAAACCAUGCACCGAUUCUUAGCGGCAGCAA